AUGCACGAGAGCUCUCUCCUCAACUAGCAUGGCUCCAUCCUCUAGGAGUAGUCAUCCUAUAAUCUCUAAAAAGAAAAAUAAAUAGAUUCAUGGUUUAAUUAUACAAUUAUGGCAAGCAAUAUAAUAAUUGAAAUGAUGCAAGGUAAGUAUGAAAAGCAAAUAAAACAUGCACACUACAAAGAUAAAAACUACUCCAUCUACCC
This 203-nucleotide long non-coding RNA is filed under the name Elaeis guineensis (African oil palm). RNAcentral's name for it is "long non-coding RNA (EGUI_LNC028026)". The record is from RNAcentral. Lineage: Eukaryota; Viridiplantae; Streptophyta; Magnoliopsida; Arecales; Arecaceae.